This 1475-nucleotide unclassified non-coding RNA is filed under the name Rhagoletis pomonella (apple maggot). Its description in RNAcentral is "zinc finger BED domain-containing protein 1-like, transcript variant X2". The record is from RNAcentral. Lineage: Eukaryota; Metazoa; Arthropoda; Insecta; Diptera; Tephritidae.
UGUUUUUGUGCAUCCCUAACUUGCCCCAUUUCAAUUCUGCAAAUUUGCUUGCGUUUAUUUUACACAGCAGAGUCGAUAAUUUUAUGCGCCGUAUACACUUUGAGUUUGCUUACUGAAUUUUUCAUACAUUAUUACUAACAAUGAGCCCAAGUAUUGUGUGGCAGUACUACGAUAAAAAAGAAAAAGGAAUUGCGAUCUGCGUAAAGUGCGGGAAAUGCUUUAAGUACCACAGCAGCACAACCACGUUAAAAAACCACGUAGAAAAAGUACACAAAAUUAAAAUGGAGAAAACUGACAUCAUUGAGCUUGUGGACAACGAUGAUGACAAUGAGCCGAAUCAAAAGAAGUCUAAAUCUGUUUACCCAAUACGAAAUUCCUUUGAAAGAGCAGUAUCAUUUUCUGAUAACAGCACCAAAGGGAAGGAAAUUUCAAAUGCGUUAAUGUAUAUGAUAGUUGUGGACGACAUGCCACUUUGUACACCUGAAAAAGGGGGUUUUUUAAAGUUCUGCAAAACGUUGCAACCUUUAUAUAAAGUGCCUACUGAAAAAACAAUGACGUCAAAAAUUGAAACAAAAUAUAGUGCAAUCCGAUUAAAGGUCAAAAACGAACUCAGUCAGGCGAAAUCUGUAUGCCUCACAUCGGACAUAUGGACAAACUCUUCGACUAUGCAAAGUUAUGUUGGAGUAACUAUACACUUCGUUAAAGGCAACAAUGAUCAUCGAACCGACUACAGCAAUAGGCAAAAUAGCAAAAGACGUCCUGUUGACCGAGGUCCAAAAACGUUACGCAAAUUUGGAGGCGGUGGUUAUUUACGGUGUGGCAACAAUACUUGAUCCAAGGUACAAGAAGGCUGCCUUCGAAAACUCAAUCUACUGUUCGCGGGCUGCUGCUUUUAUUGGUAACUUAUUAAUAACCAGCCAAACCCAAAGUAAUGAAUCUGUGGAAAUUAUCGCUGAGCUUCAAACAUCGGACGAAGGAGGCAUAUGGUCAUAUUUAGAUCAAAACAUUAGCAACAGUCAAUGCAAUAGAAGUAACGUUUCGGAAAUAAAUUCGGACCAGCUGCGAGCUUAUUUAAUCAGGCCCGCUGUUUCUCGAAAAUUAAACAAAAACCCUUUAACAACUUGGCAGGCGUUGAAAAAUGAUUUUCCUUUGCUUUUUCCAAUUGCCCAAAAACAUUUGUCAGUUAUGGCAACGUCAGUCCCAUGUGAGCGACUAUUUUCACAUGCUGGACUUAUAGCAACCCAGUUGAGGAACCGUCUCUCACCCGAACAUUUAAAUAUGUUAGUAUUUUUGCGGUCAAUUGAGGAAGAAAUGUGGGACAUAUGAGGCUAUUAGCGCAAGACUUGGUCUUGGUCUGUACAACCACUCUUACAGUGGCCGUAAAAAUAAUAGCACUUUAAUAUUUGGACAUGUUUUGACUUAAUUUUAAAAUAUUAUAUAUGUAAAAUUCAACAAAAUUUCCAAAUUAAAAAAAA